GAUGAACGCUGGCGGCGUGCCUAAUACAUGCAAGUAGAACGCUGAAGGAGGAGCUUGCUCUUUCCGGAUGAGUUGCGAACGGGUGAGUAACGCGUAGGUAACCUGCCUGGCAGCGGGGGAUAACUAUUGGAAACGAUAGCUAAUACCGCAUAACAGUAGAUAUUGCAUGAUAUUUGCUUGAAAGGGGCAAUUGCUCCACUACCAGAUGGACCUGCGUUGUAUUAGCUAGUUGGUGAGGUAACGGCUCACCAAGGCGACGAUACAUAGCCGACCUGCGAGGGUGAUCGGCCACACUGGGACUGAGACACGGCCCAGACGCCUACGGGAGGCAGCAGUAGGGAAUCUUCGGCCAUGGACGGAAGUCUGACCGAGCAACGCCGCGUGAGUGAAGAAGGGUGUCGGAUCGUAAAGCUCUGUUGUAAGAGAAGAACGAGUGUGAGAGUGGAAAGUUCACACUGUGACGGUAUCUUACCAGAAAGGGACGGCUAACUACGUG
RNAcentral lists this ribosomal RNA (496 nucleotides) under uncultured bacterium. RNAcentral describes it as "partial 16S ribosomal RNA". It matches the Rfam family "Bacterial small subunit ribosomal RNA", at positions 28 to 507 of the family's 1533-position model. The record is from RNAcentral.